GAUGGGAGGGCGACCCUGCUGCAGGAAGGCCCCGUGCCUGCGACACAUUUACCCCCAUCUUGCUUCCCAGCAGCCUUCACCUUGGCCAGGACGGGAGAAAGGAGGGGGCUGGCUUGAGCACCCCCAGUCUGGGCAGGGUGGCUUGUCCUGGGGAUCCCACUCUGGUCCCCCCUCUGUCCCGCUCCACCCUCAGCCCAGCUGCAAAAACUCUCCAAGGUUCCUACCACCUGGCUUAGCUUUUAAUCCUUCCCUCACCUCCACCACGGUGCUCCAUGCCAGACUGCCCCAUGCGCAGGUGCCCACAAGCAUUGCCCAGGAACUGGACUGGGCAGGACCUCAGCCCAGGAGGCCGGGACCAGGCGAAUGGAGAGGCUGGGGCUUCUCCUGGUCAGUGGACAGCAGAGCACAUGUCCGGCUGCCCUUGCACAGCAGCCCCGCAGCUGUUUGUUUAACCCCCAGGAGGUCUUCCCUGGUUCGGUGGGGGUCUCUGCUCCAGACCAAAACUUGAAUUUCGCAGGUGGGUGUGACUCACGCCCCGUGACACCUGUCUGGCCUGACUUGGAGCUGUCGGGACAGGACAGCCCACCUGCGGGUGGUGGGUGUUACUGGCCCAGCAGGAAGCCCAGAAGGGGUGCGGGGGCAGCUCUCAGCGGAAAGAUUAAGGGGCCCCAACCCCAGCCUAGAUGAUAGGCGGGCUAGCGACUAGGAAGAUGGCUUUUGAUUUUUCAGAUAGCUUUGUAAUGUUAGAACAGUUUUAGGUUUACAGAAAAGGUGUGAAGCGAGCACAGAGCUUCCGUCACCCCUGCCCGCGCCCCUCCACCCCCGCCAGCCAUUAAUAGCAUCUCACAUGAGCCUGGCGCAUUCGCCAGCGAGGAGACGACCCCACCUUCACUGGUAACCAGCAAGUGCUUCAGGCGGAGCCCCUGGUUUCUGCCCCCGUCCUUCCUGGCCAGGGUCCCGUCCAGGCUCCUGAGCGGCUCUGGCCACAUGACGGCUCAGACUCUCCCGGCUCUGGUGACCUUGGCCCCUGGGAGGAGCACCUGCGGGUAGCUCGGAGAUUGCCCCUCACUGGGGAUCAGAUGACCUCUCCCGAUUAGAUGGGGGUGAUGGAUUUGGAGCAGAAGAUAACAAAGGAAUCCCAAAUGGCGCGCUCAGAGUUCGCCGCCAGCCAGGAGCCGUGAAGCCAGGAGGCGAGCGAUCGCGAGCCAGAGAGAGACCAAGGACCACGUGUUUGGUUUUUAUAUCCAACCUGGCUGCCCAACUCCACCCUCAGGUCCCAGCCACCCUCCCUUGGUGGUGAUGGGAUUUGUCUUUCCCAAUGUCCUGAUGGCUUUAGUCUGGAGUGGGGGUGGGAUCCACAAAGCCUGUAUGGGAUUAACUCAGGACAUCCUCUCCCCCUAACAGUUCGA
Long non-coding RNA from Talpa occidentalis (Iberian mole), 1409 nucleotides. RefSeq lists it as uncharacterized. Lineage: Eukaryota; Metazoa; Chordata; Mammalia; Eulipotyphla; Talpidae. The transcript is spliced from 3 exons. The record is from RefSeq and is a predicted model, not a curated record.